AAAGUCGUAACAAGGUUUCCGUAGGUGAACCUGCGGAAGGAUCAUUAUCAAAACAGCGGACUUCGGUCCUUGCUGCACCCUUGUCUUUUGCGUACCGUAUGUUUCCUCGGCGGGCUUGCCUGCCGAUUGGACAAACUUAUAACCUUUUUAAUUUUUAAAUCAGCGUCUGAAAAACUUAAUAAUUACAACUUUUAACAACGGAUCUCUUGGUUCUG
This 215-nucleotide unclassified non-coding RNA is filed under the name Basidiomycota sp. RNAcentral's name for it is "partial contains small subunit ribosomal RNA, internal transcribed spacer 1, and 5.8S ribosomal RNA". The stretch from base 1 to 47 matches the Rfam family "Eukaryotic small subunit ribosomal RNA", at positions 1785 to 1831 of the family's 1831-position model. The record is from RNAcentral. Lineage: Eukaryota; Fungi; Basidiomycota.